RNAcentral lists this ribosomal RNA (465 nucleotides) under uncultured bacterium. Its description in RNAcentral is "partial 16S ribosomal RNA". It matches the Rfam family "Bacterial small subunit ribosomal RNA", at positions 28 to 507 of the family's 1533-position model. The record is from RNAcentral.
GAUGAACGCUGGCGGCGUGCUUAACACAUGCAAGUCGAACGGAAAGGCUCCUGCUUGCAGGGGUACUCGAGUGGCGAACGGGUGAGUAACACGUGGGUGAUCUGCCCUGCACUUCGGGAUAAGCCUGGGAAACUGGGUCUAAUACCGGAUAGGACGAUGGUUUGGAUGCCAUUGUGGAAAGUUUUUCGGUGUGGGAUGAGCUCGCGGCCUAUCAGCUUGUUGGUGGGGUAAUGGCCUACCAAGGCGUCGACGGGUAGCCGGCCUGAGAGGGUGUACAGCCACAUUGGGACUGAGAUACGGCCCAGACUCCUACGGGAGGCAGCAGUGGGGAAUAUUGCACAAUGGGCGCAAGCCUGAUGCAGCGACGCCGCGUGGGGGAUGACGGCCUUCGGGUUGUAAACUCCUUUCGCUAGGGACGAAGCGCAAGUGACGGUACCUGGAGAAGAAGCACCGGCUAACUACGUG